UACGGUGGGAGCAAGCGUUGUUCGGAUUUACUGGGCGUAAAGGGCGCGUAGGCGGCCUCUGCAAGUCGACUGUGAAAUCUCCGGGCUUAACCCGGAAAGGUCAGCCGAUACUGCAGGGCUAGAGUGCAGAAGGGGCAACUGGAAUUCUCGGUGUAGCGGUGAAAUGCGUAGAUAUCGAGAGGAACACCUGCGGCGAAGGCGGGUUGCUGGGCUGACACUGACGCUGACAGCGCGAAAGCUAGGGGAGCAAACGGG
This 255-nucleotide ribosomal RNA is filed under the name uncultured bacterium. RNAcentral describes it as "partial 16S ribosomal RNA". It matches the Rfam family "Bacterial small subunit ribosomal RNA", at positions 524 to 776 of the family's 1533-position model. The record is from RNAcentral.